UAAAGGAAGGAUAAAUGAUUUCAUGACUUUCGCCACUAUUAGUUUUGAAAUUGCACUUGCAUACAAUCUUCAUGAAACCCAAAGAAAGGUAAAAAGGAAUGGCAUUGUUAGCGACAACAAGAGAGAAAGCAAAACCCAAAAAAUUUGUACCAUACCAAUCUGGAGGAAGCUUGAUAGUUAUCGAAGAUCCCUUAUUUUGAUGGCAGAACCAAUGUGGAAUUUGAUUUCCCACACAUAUAGUGCUAACUAAAGUCUCAUAAGAGAUUUCCUGUAACAUCGAUGCAUGGACAUCAAAUAAAUUAUUCAACACGUGAAAAAAUGGCAUGAGGGAGAUAUGAAAGUGUGUGUGUGUGUGCGUGCGUGCGUGCGUGUGUGCGUGUGUGUGUGAGAGAGAGAAAGACCCUGUUUUGGUGAUCAGCAAAAUGAAAACGCACUCGAAACCAUUCAUAUUUAUCCCAAGCUUGUGUGAGUGAAUUUCUUGAACUGGUAACUGUCUUCAGUGAAGUGCAGCCAUCUGCUUGAAGACAACGUAGCACUGGGAGCUCUGGUAAAAAUUUUAGACUUGUGCACCGUCCCAGAUUCAGACACCUAAGCUUGUCAAGAUCUUUAAAAUAGGAAGGAAUUCGAACCAAUUUUGUACAACCGUAAAGAUCUAUAUGCUCAAUUUUUGGACAGCGAGAGAGAUCUGGAACUUCAGUCAGACGCUUGCAAAAACUUAGUUCAAUCACUUUUAAGUUCCCAAGAUUCUGUAACAUGUUAAAGAGAAAUGGAAAGAAGAACAUUAUUUCCCCAGCAGACCAAAGGCCCAUGUACACAUAAACAAGGAACAAAAUUUUAUUGCAGCAUUAAUUUACAAACCAAAGGCCCAUAUACACAUAAACAAAACAAAUAGGGGCCACCCAAGCUAACCUAAAAGACUAACCUAAAAGAGCCCAACCAAGGGCCCAAAGCUAGAUACAGAAUAAAAGAAAAUUCUAGAUUCCUUCUACCACCACUGCAAUAGUAUUUCCCAAUCAAUCCGAAUCGAUUUCCCCAGCAGACGCAAAAAAUCCUACCAAGCAGCACCGUAGAGAUUAAAUGGAGGAAAAUCCCAUCAUCCAGCCACGUACACCGAGCCGAUCUCAACUAGAAAGUUGAAAAAAGCUUGUGGAUUUACCAAGAACAACACUGCCAACAAAGGUAGACAAAGAGAAGGAGGUGGUGUUUGUAAACACCUCAGUCGGUGCAACCACCAAAACUCUACGCACCCUCUCGAAUGAACGCAACAAAUUGCGUUGAAAACUAACUGCAGACCAGAAUGAUUGAUCGAGGAAGAUGGAAGCCCGUGAAGUUAGCAUGGGGUAAAGGCAGCAAAAUGAACAAAAAGACGAAACUUAGAGAAAAAGGAAAGAUCUUCCACCAACCCUUGCCACAGCGAGGGCCGACGGCGAUUAAUGCAAAAGGUCAUACAUUUUGUGUAUUUUUAAAACUAAAUUAUAAAUUAAUGCAAGUCGCGCGUGGCACGUAUGAUGGAAAAAAAAGAUUGUAUGUAUCUGCUAAGCAUAACUCAAACAAAACAAUUAGAAUAGGUACUAGCAAAAAUUGCCCACGCGAUGCUGCGGGUUUCAAAUGCAACCGGUUCUUGCAAUCAGUAAAUAUGGUUACGAAGUUGUCAAUAGUACAAAAAAAAAAACAUGUUGACCAGGAUAGUCAAAUUUUAUUAGUUUAUUCCGAAUGACUUCAACUUCUUCAAUAGGUUUGCUUCUAGACUCUUACAUAUCACUCAAUACUUUUGUUAAUUGGCCCUAAACUCUAAGUAAAAAAAUGAGGCAACUCUAAUUAACAAUUGCUAAUCAAACUGCAAAAACAACAUAGUGAGUUUCAACUGUGUUCAAACAUCUGAAUCAAUAGAUUCAAAGGUCUUGAUAUGCAUUAUUAUUCAAACAUCUGAAUCAAUAGAUUCCAGAGUCUUGAUAUGCAAUAUUAACCAAAGGCAUCCAUUACAUUUUAAUAAAAAUUUCCCUAAUGGAUCGCAACGCAGAUACAAUUUGAAAGAUCAAAUUCAAACAUUGAAGCACUCAAGCAAUUUAGAUAAUGCUUGAAAGAUGAAAUUCACACACUAAAACCACUCUGUAACGGAUUCACAUGAGUCACAGUAGGAACUUACCAACCAAAACUUUACCACAGCCAAACACUAGGUCAUUUCCAUUAGUUAAGUAGAUUUUACGUAGCUGCAUUAACAUUGAAAUAAGGGAAAUAAAUCAGUAAUCUUAAUUUUUUUAAGGAACUCAAAAAAAUUUCCCAACUUGCUUGUUUUCCUUGCAUUAAAAAUUAUAAGCACUGAGGGGAAUGGAUAUGCCCCAACAAAUAAUGCGAAAAUCAAUAAUAAAGAUUUUUAUAUAAAUUUUGUGGUUAAUGUGUAUAGCAAGUGCAUUAGAAAAUCAAACCUUGAAUAUAAUACAGCGAACAUGGCUUUGCGAGUAGCCCACUUCAAGCACGAUGGAACUCUGAUGUGACUGUCGCAUCAUGCCACGUAUAGAAAAUACCAAUUGAUAAAGAGUCAAAAUUCAAUAAGUUUAUCUCACAAUUAUUUGAUUUAAACUGAUUCUUUUCAUAUGGUUCAUCACAUAAGGGGUUUCUGAGUAAUCCAAGCAAUUAAGCUACUGGCAGGAUUUGGAGAUAAAUCUUGAAACAGUAUGAAAUUCAAUGACAACAUAAAGGGCUUAAAGGGAAGUAGUGGUACUGGUGAUAUUAGGAUACAAUCAGAAAAGCAUUUAAAUGCUUAGCUUUUAGUUUAACACUUUUCUUCUUUAGAGAAGAGAGGCAGGGGAAAGCAAUAGGAACAGUCUGAUAGGUUCUAAGUUUUAUACAUACAUACAUAUUGAUACACACACACCAAUAUUCAUUGACCAUAAAGUAUUACAUGCAACUCAAAAAUUAAAAAUAAGAGAGAGACUUGGUGGAAAACCCGAACUCCCUUACCCUAAAAACUCAAUGCGCAAUUAGAUCAUCAAGCUUCAUGUCAUAUUUUUUUUUCGUUUAAGAAAACCUUCUUCCAGUUCAAGUAAUACCAAUUUAUGUUUAAAUACAUUAAAUAUUCAGAAUACAUAAUUUGGAAAUAGAAAAAAACAUAAACAUAAUCAUACCUGGAGAGUGAUGGCAAACGUAUUAUAUCAGCCAGAAAAACCUUGCAAAGAACAAAAAUUCCACAAAAUCAGUAUAUUAGCACUUCCUGCAAAACCCCAAAAUCAAAAAUUAGAAAACUCAAAUUUGAUAACAUAAUACAAAUUUGUAUCUGUUAGAGUAGACUCCAUUUAAAUUAGAAUAAUUAGGUUUAGGAUAAAUACCCAAACAGUUCUACUUGAUUUGGUCCUUGCUGCAAAAAUGCAGGCAUGGUGUUAUACACAUUAGACUUUUUCUUGCCGGUCCAGCAACGACCACUAACACAGCAGGCACAAUUAAAAGGUCCACCACUUCUCCAACAAAAAACCUACUUUACACAAAUUUUUUGAAUUAUAAUCAAAAUAAUUAGAUUAAAUGCAAAAUUAAAACUUAUAUCAGAAAAUGCAAUUGAAAUUAACCGAAACCCUAAUUGAAUUGAAGCCCUUGUUAAAAAAAGCUUCACUGAUAUUGAAAUUAAACAAAACCCACCCUGAUUUUGAAACCUCAGACUCAGAGUCUCAUACCUUAAAUUUGAGCAUCGAACCUGAGAGGCAAAGCCAUGAAGAUUGUUAAUAACGGCGUGGUCCGUUUCGCUUGCGUCCGGCAAGAAACAGUUCGCCCGAAUUCCAACACCCAAAAGCCUGGCUGCUUGAUACUUGAAAUCGAGUUUUUGGUUCGAGGGUUUAGAUUAAGUGUGAGUGUGAGAGAUUGUGAAAUUAAAUUUGUUGGUUUGAGGGUAUGAGGGCUUGAGGGGUUUUGCGGUGCCUGUGAGCGAGAGAGAAAGGAAGCGAGGGUUGAUGCAGUGAAAAGGUAAACGGAAUAGAGAGAUGAGGAGAGAGAAGAGAAGACCGCAGAUAGAGAAAUGGAAAUGGAAGGAAAAGUCGGGAAGAAAGUCUGAGCGGAGCCUUUGACGAUGAUCAACGCGUGGCCAAGAAAGAAAGAAGAGGAAGCCGAAGGAAAACAUCGAGAAAAAGAAACAAAAACAAAAGGUUAAACUAUGAGUGACCCGUGGCAAAAAAAGGGCAAAAUCGAAAUUUUGCUGUACCAAGCAAACAACAAAACGUAGGAGUGAGAAGAAACAAAGGGCAUUUCUGUUCUUUCACUGUUCACAAACAGUGAAAAAUAGUGCCAGCCGAACUAAGAAUUAGUAUAUGUAUGAUAUAUGUAUUUAAAAUUUGUAAGUGGUAACUAGUGCACGUGAUUAAAGAAAGACCUUUUAAUUUUCAAAAAUAAAAAAAAAAACAAAAACAAAAGUCAAUAAAAAUAUUAGUUUUCUCUUCAAGUUCAAUACCACUAGCUGAUAUCUUUAAAAGAACAAAACACUAAUUAACUCGAUCCUAAUAUUGAAAAUAUUUUGUGAUCUUAAACAAAUUACGCCCAACUUACAAACCAACACAAGAGUUUUCAAAAUUACUUGGAAAGCCAAAGUGUUGCAACAACAAAGACUAAAACAAGGAAUUCCUUGGCCACAAGGCUCACAAACAGCUCAUGAUGAGAAUACAAACAAUAAGAAGAGCUCAAAUUCUUUAUUUUUCAUUUCUACGUUUUUUUUUUUUUAGCUACUUCAACUUGUAGAUCCUCCUAACUUGAUGGUCUCAACAUCUUGGGCAUACAGCAGGCAUAUCCCACACUUUGUCACCAUUCUCCGAACGGCCCCUUUUUCAAGAAAGCGACUUAUCACAGGGUAGAACUCAAAACAGGCAUCAGUAACAAGUUUGUAAAAAGAAGUGGAGCGAUUUAAAUUUGCUCCCUCCCCAAGUGCAAACGCACUAUACCACACAAAUAUGAAUUCGGGCCGGAAAUAACGCUUCCGCACUCUUUCAGUGAAAGGAACAAAGGAAGGAUAAAUGAUUUCAUGACUUUCGCCACUAUUAGUUUUGAAAUUGCACUUGCAUACAAUCUUCAUGAAACCCAAAGAAAGGUAAAAAGGAAUGGCAUUGUCAGCGACAACAAGAGAGAAAGCAAAACCCAAAAAAUCUGUACCAUACCAAUCUGGAGGAAGCUUGAUAGUUAUCGAAGAUCCCUUAUUUUGAUGGCAGAACCAAUGUGGAAUUUGAUUUCCCACACAUAUAGUGCUAACUAAAGUCUCAUCAGAGAUUUCCUGUAACAUCGAUGCAUGGACAUCAAAUAAAUUAUUCAACACGUGAAAAAAUGGCAUGAGGGAGAUAUGAAAGUGUGCGUGUGUGUGUGUGCGUGCAUGUGUGUGUGAGAGAGAGAGAGACCGUGUUUUGGUGAUCAGCAAAAGGAAAACGCCCUCGAAACAAUUCAUACUUAUCCCAAGCUUGUGUGAGUGAAUUUCUUGAACUUGAAACUGUCACUGGCGCAGUUGCCACUCGCAUAAUUCUCAACCGUGUGUCGGCCAUUAUAUUGGUCCUUGCAUUUUCAUCCAAGUUUUUGCACCUAACAAAAUGAAAACGCCCUCGAAACAAUUCAUAUUUAUCCCAAGCUUGUGUGAGUGAAUUUCUUGAACUGGAAACUGUCUUCAGUGAAGUGCAGCCAGUUGCUUCAAGACAACGUAGCACUGGGAGCUCUGGUAAAAAUUCUAGACUUGUGCACCAUCCCAGAUUCAGACACCUAAGCUUGUCAAGAUCUUUAAAAUAGGAAGGAAUUCGAACCAAUUUUGUACAGCCGUAAAGAUCUAUAUGCUCAAUUUUUGGACUGCGAGAGAGAUCUGGAACUUCAGUCAGAUGCUUGCAAAAACGUAGUUCAAUCACUUUUAAGUUCCCAAGAUUCUGUAACAUAUUAAAGAGAAAUGGAAAGCAGAACAUUAUUGACUUCGGCCAACUAGAUUUCCAGAGGCACC
This 5944-nucleotide long non-coding RNA is filed under the name Malus domestica (apple). RNAcentral's name for it is "long non-coding RNA (MDOM_LNC004883)". The record is from RNAcentral. Lineage: Eukaryota; Viridiplantae; Streptophyta; Magnoliopsida; Rosales; Rosaceae.